RNAcentral lists this unclassified non-coding RNA (213 nucleotides) under plant metagenome. Its description in RNAcentral is "partial contains small subunit ribosomal RNA, internal transcribed spacer 1, and 5.8S ribosomal RNA". The record is from RNAcentral.
UCUCCGUAGGUGAACCUGCGGAGGGAUCACUACAGGCUUGCAAAAGCUCUGAAACCACUGUUUAUCUACCUGAAUCUGCUUCGGCGGGCGGCCCCAGGGCGGGGCCGUAGCCGCAAGGCGCCCGCCGAAGACCCCUAAACUCUGCCGUCUUGAGAAUCUCUGAGUAUCAUAUUAAACAGAAAACAACUUUCAACAACGGAUCUCUUGGCUCUG